This 164-nucleotide ribosomal RNA is filed under the name uncultured bacterium. RNAcentral's name for it is "partial 16S rRNA". It matches the Rfam family "Bacterial small subunit ribosomal RNA", at positions 355 to 511 of the family's 1533-position model. The record is from RNAcentral.
UAGGGAAUCUUCCACAAUGGGCGAAAGCCUGAUGGAGCAACGCCGCGUGUGUGAUGAAGGGUUUCGGCUCGUAAACACUGUUGUAAGAGAAGAAUGACAUUGAGAGUAACUGUUCAAUGUGUGACGGUAUCUUUACCAGAAAGGAACGGCUAAAUACGUGCCAG